CCUACGGGAGGCUGCAGUGGGGAAUAUUGGGCAAUGGACGCAAGUCUGACCCAGCAACGCCGCGUGAAGGAAGAAGGCUUUCGGGUUGUAAACUUCUUUUAAGGGGGAAGAGCAGAAGACGGUACCUCUUGAAUAAGCCAUGGCCAACUACGUGCCAGCAGCCGCGGUAAUACGUAGGUGGCAAGCGUUGUCCGGAUUUACUGGGUGUAAAGGGCGUGCAGCCGGGAAGACAAGGCAGAUGUGAAAUCCCGCGGCUCAACCGCGGAACUGCAUUUGAAACUGUUUUUCUUGAGUGUCGGAGAGGUAAUCGGAAUUCCUAGUGUAGCGGUGAAAUGCGUAGAUAUUAGGAAGAACACCAGUGGCGAAGGCGGAUUACUGGACGGCAACUGACGGUGAGGCGCGAAAGCGUGGGGAGCGAACAGGAUUAGAUACCCGUGUAGUC
RNAcentral lists this ribosomal RNA (442 nucleotides) under uncultured bacterium. Its description in RNAcentral is "partial 16S ribosomal RNA". It matches the Rfam family "Bacterial small subunit ribosomal RNA", at positions 338 to 795 of the family's 1533-position model. The record is from RNAcentral.